RNAcentral lists this non-coding RNA (24 nucleotides) under Arabidopsis thaliana (thale cress). The record is from RNAcentral. Lineage: Eukaryota; Viridiplantae; Streptophyta; Magnoliopsida; Brassicales; Brassicaceae.
UAGCUACGUUGCAGAAUCUGGUGU